CACACUUCACGACUUCACACUUGCUUCACACUUCACACUUGAGCAUCUGUAAAAGAGGAACAACCACAAAUUUAAAUCUCAAUUGCAGUAUAGGCCAUAUGCAGAAGCAGUUCAAAGUUGAAACAACAUCAAUUAAACACACGCGCACAGAAACAUGGGAGUCAAAAUGUAGUAUAGGACCAGGACAAGGAAACUCCUGUUAUCAAAUAAACACACAGCUUGUAGUAAAACAGCAACAUAAUACAUUAUAACGAGAGUAAGCUUGAAUCAAACAACAUAGAAACAUGUGGAUAUCUCAUGUGAGCAUCAUGCUGUGGUUUUAUUAAACAAUGAUACAUCAACAGAAUACAAUAUCUUCAAUGCAAAUUAUGAUACUUGUAGUAAAACAGUUUGAAACAACAACUACACAAUACAUUAUAACGAGAGUAAGCUUGAAUCAAACAGAAAAGGGAACAAUUUCGAGUUUAAAAGUUAAUGCAAAUUGAUUUUCUAGUAGCAAACAUUGACAGAUUGCUGCUAGUGCAUACUAGUAUGAUUCACACCAGAGCAACCAUCCAAUUCGAUGAGCACAUAAAAGUAAUUUAAGUGGGCAAAGACCCCCCCUCCCCCACCCCAAAUCUACAGGAACAGAAUAGCUAGACUGCGUCAACGGACACAGCCGAGCUCACAUGCAGUAAUACCAAGCAAGAGAAUUGCUCCUGCUAGCUGCUGUUGCUGCCACAAAAUGCAUGACAUAUUAGUUGCAGUACAAGCGAUGGACCUGGAUUCUGGACUGAGAUCCAACAUGAUGUACGUACAAUGAAGUGCAGAUAUGCAACUAGCAGGAAAUCUAAAAUACUUGAGAUAUAGGUAUGCAGCAAGAACAACAGGCAAUGCAAUGAUAGUAUGAGAGCACUGUAGCUCUAGAAGUAAAAAGAACAUAAUGCAGCGAUGUGCAAGUCACUGAACUUCAUAGCAAUAACCUGCCACAGCUCAGCGCUUAUGUACUUCAAGCUGUCAAAAGCAUAGAGAGCCUCUCCGUUGGCCUUGUUGACGAGUUGCCAUGGCAGGGUAGCCUUCCUAAUCCUUGACCCUUGUGAUGUACUUCAUGUCCAGUGCUGCAUCAUAUGUGUAUAUUCAAAUCAAUCAACUACUUGAUCAGGGGGAAAAUAGUACGUACAUAAAAAUUCGCUUGAGCAAAAGCCAAA
RNAcentral lists this long non-coding RNA (1187 nucleotides) under Triticum aestivum (bread wheat). RNAcentral's name for it is "long non-coding RNA (TAES_LNC021926)". Lineage: Eukaryota; Viridiplantae; Streptophyta; Magnoliopsida; Poales; Poaceae. The record is from RNAcentral.